Molecule: non-coding RNA, 141 nt
Organism: Leptonychotes weddellii (Weddell seal)
Lineage: Eukaryota; Metazoa; Chordata; Mammalia; Carnivora; Phocidae
Source: RefSeq, a predicted model, not a curated record
AUAGUGGCAGUAUCGUAGCCAAUGAGGUUUAUCCGAGGCGCGAUUAUUGCUAAUUGGAAGAGUAGAUAGCUUAAAUUUUAAUAAAAGUCCAAUUUGUCCACAUUUUUCUUUUAUAAUUUGUGUUUUUCGCCUCCUAAGAAA